RNAcentral lists this ribosomal RNA (403 nucleotides) under uncultured bacterium. RNAcentral describes it as "partial 16S ribosomal RNA". It matches the Rfam family "Bacterial small subunit ribosomal RNA", at positions 29 to 526 of the family's 1533-position model. The record is from RNAcentral.
AUUGACCGCUGUCGGCAGGCCUAACACAUGCAAGUCGCGCGAGCGGCGCACGGGUGAGUAAUGUAUGGGGACUGCCCGAUAGAGGGGGAUCCCUACUGGAAACGUUGGCUAAUACCGCCUACUAUCGGAUAACCCAUAUGGGAUUAGCUAGUAGGUGGGGGAAAGGCUCACCUAGGCGACGAUCUCUAGCUGGUCUGAGAGGAUGAUAAGCCACAAUGGGAUGGAGAAAAGGCCCAGACUCCUACGGAGGCAGCAGUGGGGAAUAUUGCACAAUGGGCGCAAGCCUGAGGCAGCCAGGCCGCGUGUAGGAAGAAGGAAUUAGGGUUGUAAAGUACGUGAAGCGGGGAGGCGUUACCCGCAGAAGAAGCACCGGCUAACUCCGUGCCAGCAGCCGCGGGAAUAC